Paramuricea clavata is the source of this 498-nucleotide non-coding RNA. Lineage: Eukaryota; Metazoa; Cnidaria; Anthozoa; Malacalcyonacea; Plexauridae. The record is from the annotation of a GenBank genome assembly.
UGUUACUCUGAGUGUAUAUCCACACCGGGCGAGCUUGAAAAAUAUGCCCGCCCACGGUGGGAUUCGAACCUACGACCUUUGGAAUACUAGCCCAAUGCUCUUCCAACUGAGCUACGCGGUCAGGACGGUUCGAGUAAGUGAUAUUUCGGAACAGAAUUGUUAUUUUCGGAACAGAAUUGUUAUUUUCUUUCUUUCUGUUUGCAAAUUAUCUCUAUCAAUCCAUAGAAAACAAGCAGUAUACGUUUGUAUUUCUUCGUAUUUCGAACGCGCACUCCUUGAAGGCAGCCAUAUUGCCGAAUAUAAACAUCCACUUGAUGAAUGAACUUUUCAUAUUUCACUCUAUUUCCAACGACCAAUCAAAUCGCUUCUGCUUCGGCUUGUCCCAGGGCUUACGGCAACGCAGGCAGCCGAGAAGCCCUGGGAACGAGGAUGGACCAGACACUGCGAGACGCGCUGGCCAAGGAGGCUUUCUCGUAUUUGUAAUAUCCUUAUAAAGUU